UAAUUUUCCUAUUGGAUCUGAUCACCUGGGAGAACGUGGAAGGUGUAAGUGAGUGGAGUUGCAUGCAUGUGAAGUGAACUGUGUAUGCUAUCACCAAAUUAAAUUUAAUUGAAUAUAUUGUUUCAAUACAUUUAUUAUUUACUGCUUUGUGUGUGUGUGUAUACAUAUAUAUUUAUUUAUAUGAUCCUGAUAAUUUGACACUAGUUUUGUUCAAUUUGUUCCUUUCCUUUUUCUCUCUAUCUUGGAAUGUGCAAUCCU
This 258-nucleotide long non-coding RNA is filed under the name Ananas comosus (pineapple). RNAcentral describes it as "long non-coding RNA (ACOM_LNC002748)". Lineage: Eukaryota; Viridiplantae; Streptophyta; Magnoliopsida; Poales; Bromeliaceae. The record is from RNAcentral.